AGGACGAACGCUGGCGGCGUGCUUAACACAUGCAAGUCGAACGGAAAGGCCCGCUUGCGGGUACUCGAGUGGCGAACGGGUGAGUAACACGUGGGCAACCUGCCCUCAGCUUCGGGAUAACACUUGGAAACAGGUGCUAAUACCGGAUAAUAACCUUUCAUCGCAUGGUGUGGGGUUCAAAGUUUUUCGGCUGGGGAUGGGCCCGCGGCCUAUCAGCUUGUUGGUGGGGUAAUGGCCUACCAAGGCGACGACGGGUAGCC
This 260-nucleotide ribosomal RNA is filed under the name uncultured bacterium. Its description in RNAcentral is "partial small subunit ribosomal RNA". It matches the Rfam family "Bacterial small subunit ribosomal RNA", at positions 26 to 288 of the family's 1533-position model. The record is from RNAcentral.